Long non-coding RNA from Musa acuminata AAA Group (dessert banana), 905 nucleotides. RefSeq lists it as uncharacterized. NCBI's taxonomy places the organism in Eukaryota, Viridiplantae, Streptophyta, Magnoliopsida, Zingiberales, Musaceae. The record is from RefSeq and is a predicted model, not a curated record. The transcript is spliced from 2 exons.
GCUGAUGAAUCAACGACUUUUAAGAGGAAUAUUUCGGUGGGUGGGGGCGAGUAAAAGAGAUGUUGCUCGUGUGCUUCACGCUGCUGUGGGUACGAAUAGCGACGUGGCAUUCGCUUUAUGUGCACGUUGCACAAAGUUGCAGGCAUAGAUUGGUAAGAGAGAUAGAGAUAGAAAGUGUGUGAGAGCGAGAGGAAAGUGAAGCCAUCCUAUACACUCCACUGGGAGGGAGCUGGGAGAUGUCUUCCUCUGUGCCACAGGAGGCGGUGAAGGUGAAGCAGAUGCAGCACCGGAAGGAGGAGGAUGGGUCGAGCGGCACUGCGUCUCGCCGCCUGCCGAGGAUGGAGCGGGCGAGGAACGAGACGGUGCCGGAGUGGAAGGUGAAGUGCCUCUGCUCCGAGUACGGCGUGCCGGUGAUCAUAAGAGGCAGCUUGCUCAUCGGAGGCUGCUUCUGAUGGUGCCAAACAAAAGGCGUAUGUGUUAAGCGAGCUCGGAGACGGUGCUGUAUGCUCCAGCGUCGUCGUAUGUUAUGCCAUGUAUUCUCAUCUUCUCUUCUAGCGUCGCAUAAGGUGUGUCGUAUGUCAAGUUACGUAGAAAUCCAUGUCGUCGUACGAUGUUGUGCCAUUUUACGAUAUGGUAUACGUAUGUUGUUACGUAUUCACCAAACUCUUGUCCGAAUGUGUCUUCCACACAUUUUAGGAUGUGUUAUUAGUAAGUAAUCAAGAAAUCAUGAAACAAAACACUUUCUUUAAUAACAUGACAAACACAGGGAAAGCUCAUGCAAUCAAUCUUUUGGUCAUGUAUCCGGUAAGAUUGGAAGGUGAUCAUCACACAAACAAGUAAUGCAAUCAUCAACUAUAAAUUUAUUUGAUUUUUAAAUGGUUGCUUAAAUGAUGUAUUUUUCUUUA